AAUAGAUACCCCGGUAGUCCACGCCGUAAACGAUGAGUGCUAGGUGUUGGGGGGGAUCGCCCCCUCGGUGCCGAAGUUAACACAUUAAGCACUCCGCCUGGGGAGUACGGUCGCAAGACUGAAACUCAAAGGAAUUGACGGGGGACCCGCACAAGCAGUGGAGUAUGUGGUUUAAUUCGAAGCAACGCGAAGAACCUUACCAGGUCUUGACAUCCCUCUGACCGGUCUAGAGAUAGGCCUUCCCUUCGGGGCAGAGGAGACAGGUGGUGCAUGGUUGUCGUCAGCUCGUGUCGUGAGAUGUUGGGUUAAGUCCCGCAACGAGCGCAACCCUUGAACUUAGUUGCCAGCACCUCGGGUGGGCACUCUAGGUUGACUGCCGGUGACAAACCGGAGGAAGGCGGGGAUGACGUCAAAUCAUCAUGCCCCUUAUGACCUGGGCUACACACGUACUACAAUGGCCGGUACAACGGGUCGCGAAGCCGCGAGGCGGAGCUAAUCCUACCAAAGCCGGUCUCAGUUCGGAUUGCAGGCUGCAACUCGCCUGC
Molecule: ribosomal RNA, 545 nt
Filed under: uncultured bacterium
Lineage: Bacteria
Description: bacterial SSU rRNA
Rfam family: Bacterial small subunit ribosomal RNA
Source: RNAcentral